This 647-nucleotide long non-coding RNA is filed under the name Homo sapiens (human). RNAcentral's name for it is "HSALNT0364203". The record is from RNAcentral. Lineage: Eukaryota; Metazoa; Chordata; Mammalia; Primates; Hominidae.
UUUGUUUCCAUGACAUCAUGACAUUGGUUAUAACACCACAAUUGUUUAGAAUAUAAGGCUUGUUUAGAAUGCAAGGCUUCCUCAAUUCUCCACCCUUCCCCUCUUGACAUCUUGCUCUUCUUCCCUUCAUCUAUUGUGUUAGUCAGGUGCAUGCUGGUCUUCCCUCUAUCAAACUGUAAGCUACUUGGAGACUUGGGAUGCCUCACUCAUCUCUAUUCCCAAACCUCAGGGUCUAUCAUUCUACCUUCUGUAUAGACAGGACUUUCAUAGUUUUGAACAAGUCAGAACCUGAAAGAAUUUGCUUCCAGAACAGGACAUUGACAGGAAAAUUAAGCAUGAUCAUGCCGAGUAAAAUAGGAAUAAGAAUUGGACCUACCUCAAGAUCUGUUGAGAAGAUUAUGAGAGAGCUGAUGGAUCUAAAAGAUUGGCGCUUGCUUUAACAACAACUGGUAAGAUCACUGAGCUGUAAACAGGACUCUGCACAUCCAAGCAACAGAGACUGCUUUCCUGCUGAGUUAUCCAUUUCCACACUACAGGAGAAUUAGUUUGAAGAGACCACCUGCUGUACACACGCGAUGCUUUAAAUAGACACAUCUGAACUAGAAGCUCUUGGUGUCUUAUAAUAAAGGAAAUUUGUGCUUUAGGAC